UAAGCUGAAAGAAGCAUAUGAAAAUUGUCAUAAAUUGUUUUCAUAAAUUUUGAUAGUUUUUUAACAAAUUUUAUGUCAUUAAAUAAACUAAAAUAAUCCAAUCUAAAUAGGUUAAAUUAACUAACUAAUGACAUUUUAAAUUUUCACACUCAAGCCGGUGAACCUUCUAGUUUGCUCCAACGAUGUUUUCAAUGAGAAUUUCACACCCUUGAUCAUGGAAGCUUAUAUGCUUCUGCAAAUGACUUCAAUAUAUAAGCUUAACCCAACCUCUCUUGUAAGCUAUUUUUAGUUUUUCUUGGUAAUCCAUGUGCUCUUUUCAUCUGCACAAAAUAGAAAAAAGAAGAAGCAGUAACCGAACAAUAAUACUUAAUUACUAAAAUAAAGUAAUAUUGUUGCAUGAAUAUACCUUUUUUGACAAAAUUAGUGACAAUUAUCAUAAAUACAUUACCUAUUACAAAUUGUUGCAUGCAAUAAAGUAAUAGUACUUAAUUCGUGCAAAUUAGCAAGGUUGUCAGAACCGGACCGGUCAUCGAACCGGCGAGCUCAUCGGUUCAAGGUUCAAUUGGUCGGACCGGGUUCAAUCAGGGUCGAAUUGUUUUUAAUUAAAUAUAUUUUUUAAUUAAUAUAUAAAUAAAUAUAUAUGAAUAAUUGCUCAAUAUUUCAUAAUUUCACACAAUAAAAAGAUAAAAUAUCACAAGUCAAAAUAAAAUAAAAUUUAUAAUUCAAACCAAAUGAAAAAUAGAUGAAAAACAAAAACCUUUUCUAUUCCUACGACGUCGUUGUUUUGUUUCAGAUUUUGUUUAAAAAAAAAUUAAACGACGUUGUUUUGCCCUAUUUUUUUUUAAAAAAAAUAAAAAAUCUGCAAACCGCUUGAACUGCCCGGCCGGUUCGCCGGUCCGACCCCGGUUCACAGGUUUUUUUGCCAGUCGGUUUCCUAUCCGUUUUUUGCUCAAAACCGAAUUUCAUGACCGGUUCACGGUCCGACCAGUCCGACUAGCCGGUCCGGUCCGGUUUUGAUAACCUUGCAAAUUAGUGACAAAAUGUGUUGUUAUUUCAAACGCAUCAUCCAAACACGGUGCCUGAUUUUUAACUAAUCCUAAUUCAAAUUGACACAACUACACAAAAUUAAAAUUAUGUGAUGUGAUGACAUACACAAAGUAACAACACCAACGUCCAAUUUUUGCUGCAUGAAUUCUAAUUCAUCAUUGUUAAUUCUAAAUUACUAUUUUUCCAUAUGAACCUUAAAUUUGUAAUUAUAAAUUUCAAAGCCAAAUUAACAAAUUAUCAUAAAUACAUUAACUUUGUUGCAUGAAUAUACCUUUUUUGACUUUCCGUGAAUAUAUUUCUUUUGACACAUUUUUUCUUCUUAAUUACCUUAAAUAAACUAGGUUCGAACGAGCAUGCUAGCACUCCAGUGGCCACCUAGCAUAUUGCAAGAGACGAGAAUGUAUCAUAAAUUUUUCCCAGAUCGAUAAACGAUGAAACUUCAAUUAGCAAUUGAUAUAUCGUAACUUCUUCCUUGUCUCCCUUUCUUCGUUAGAAUUGAGUAUUGCAAAUCUUGCAAUAGGCUUGUGGACACUGUAGUGCUAACAUUAAAUUAAAUGUAUUAACUCAUGGUUUACUCUAGGGUAAGAAGAAGAAUUUAAUUAAACAAACAUGUCAAACGAAAUAUAUAUUUAUGUGUGUGAAGAAAA
This 1694-nucleotide long non-coding RNA is filed under the name Trifolium pratense (red clover). RNAcentral's name for it is "long non-coding RNA (TPRA_LNC002028)". Lineage: Eukaryota; Viridiplantae; Streptophyta; Magnoliopsida; Fabales; Fabaceae. The record is from RNAcentral.